AUUGAACGCUGGCGGCAGGCCUAACACACGCAAGUCGAGCGGAUGACGGGAGCUUGCUCCUUGAUUCAGCGGCGGACGGGUGAGUAAUGCCUAGGAAUCUGCCUGGUAGUGGGGGACAACGUUUCGAAAGGAACGCUAAUACCGCAUACGUCCUACGGGAGAAAGCAGGGGACCUUCGGGCCUUGCGCUAUCAGAUGAGCCUAGGGCGGAUUAGCUAGUUGGUGGGGUAAUGGCUCACCAAGGCGACGAUCCGUAACUGGUCUGAGAGGAUGAUCAGUCACACUGGAACUGAGACACGGUCCAGACUCCUACGGGAGGCAGCAGUGGGGAAUAUUGGACAAUGGGCGAAAGCCUGAUCCAGCCAUGCCGCGUGUGUGAAGAAGGUCUUCGGAUUGUAAAGCACUUUAAGUUGGGAGGAAGGGCAGUAAGCUAAUACCUUGCUGUUUUGACGUUACCGACAGAAUAAGCACCGGCUAACUCUGUGCCAGCCGCCGCCGUAA
Molecule: ribosomal RNA, 500 nt
Filed under: uncultured bacterium
Lineage: Bacteria
Description: partial 16S ribosomal RNA
Rfam family: Bacterial small subunit ribosomal RNA
Source: RNAcentral